AUUGAACGCUGGCGGCAUGCCUUACACAUGCAAGUCGAACGGUAACAGGUCUUCGGAUGCUGACGAGUGGUGCACGGGUGAGUAAUACAUCGGAACGUGCCCAGACGUGGGGGAUAACGAGGCGAAAGCUUUGCUAAUACCGCAUACGAUCUAAGGAUGAAAGCAGGGGACCGCAAGGCCUUGUGCGUUUGGAGCGGCCGAUGGCAGAUUAGGUAGUUGGUGGGAUAAAAGCUUACCAAGCCGACGAUCUGUAGCUGGUCUGAGAGGACGACCAGCCACACUGGGACUGAGACACGGCCCAGACUCCUACGGGAGGCAGCAGUGGGGAAUUUUGGACAAUGGGCGAAAGCCUGAUCCAGCAAUGCCGCGUGCAGGAUGAAGGCCUUCGGGUUGUAAACUGCUUUUGUACGGAACGAAAAGGCUCUGGCUAAUACCUGGGGCACAUGACGGUACCGUAAGAAUAAGCACCGGCUAACUACGUG
RNAcentral lists this ribosomal RNA (482 nucleotides) under uncultured bacterium. Its description in RNAcentral is "partial 16S ribosomal RNA". It matches the Rfam family "Bacterial small subunit ribosomal RNA", at positions 30 to 507 of the family's 1533-position model. The record is from RNAcentral.